GAUGAACGCUGGCGGCGUGCCUAACACAUGCAAGUCGAGCGAAUGGACGAGAACCUUGCUUUUCUGAUGUUAGCGGCGACCGGGUGAGUAACACGUGGUUAACCUACCUAUAAGACUGGGAUAACUUCGGGAAACCGGUGCUAAUCCCGGAUAAUAUUUUGAACCGCAUGGUUCAAAAGUGAAAGACGGUUUUGCUGUCACUGAUAGAUGGAUCCGCGCUGCAUUAGCUAGUUGGUAAGGUCACGGCUUACCAAGGCAACGAUGCAUAGCCGACCUGAGAGCGUGGACGGGCAGACGGGAACUGAGACUCGGUCGCGACUCCGACGGGGAGCAGCAGUAGGGAAUCUUCCGCAAUGGGCGAGAGGCUGACAGAGCAACACCGCGUGAGUGAUGAUGGACUUCGGAUGGUUAAGCUCAGUUGUUAGGGGAGAACAAAUGUGUAAGUGACUGUGCACAUCGUGACGGUACCUACACAGGAAGCCACGGCUAACUACGUG
RNAcentral lists this ribosomal RNA (497 nucleotides) under uncultured bacterium. RNAcentral's name for it is "partial 16S ribosomal RNA". It matches the Rfam family "Bacterial small subunit ribosomal RNA", at positions 28 to 507 of the family's 1533-position model. The record is from RNAcentral.